This 811-nucleotide ribosomal RNA is filed under the name uncultured bacterium. RNAcentral's name for it is "bacterial SSU rRNA". It matches the Rfam family "Bacterial small subunit ribosomal RNA", at positions 8 to 808 of the family's 1533-position model. The record is from RNAcentral.
AGAGUUUGAUCCUGGCUCAGACUGAACGCUAGCGGGACGCCUUACACAUGCAAGUCGAACGGCAGCACGAGAGAGCUUGCUCUCUUGGUGGCGAGUGGCGGACGGGUGAGUAAUAUAUCGGAACGUGCCCAGUAGCGGGGGAUAACUACUCGAAAGAGUGGCUAAUACCGCAUACGCCCUACGGGGGAAAGGGGGGGAUCGCAAGACCUCUCACUAUUGGAGCGGCCGAUAUCGGAUUAGCUAGUUGGUGGGGUAAAGGCUCACCAAGGCAACGAUCCGUAGCUGGUUUGAGAGGACGACCAGCCACACUGGGACUGAGACACGGCCCAGACUCCUACGGGAGGCAGCAGUGGGGAAUUUUGGACAAUGGGGGAAACCCUGAUCCAGCCAUCCCGCGUGUAUGAUGAAGGCCUUCGGGUUGUAAAGUACUUUUGGCAGAGAAGAAAAGGCAUCCCCUAAUACGGGAUGCUGCUGACGGUAUCUGCAGAAUAAGCACCGGCUAACUACGUGCCAGCAGCCGCGGUAAUACGUAGGGUGCAAGCGUUAAUCGGAAUUACUGGGCGUAAAGCGUGUGUAGGCGGUUCGGAAAGAAAGAUGUGAAAUCCCAGGGCUCAACCUUGGAACUGCAUUUUUAACUGCCGAGCUAGAGUAUGUCAGAGGGGGGUAGAAUUCCACGUGUAGCAGUGAAAUGCGUAGAUAUGUGGAGGAAUACCGAUGGCGAUGGCAGCCCCCUGGGAUAAUACUGACGCUCAGACACGAAAGCGUGGGGAGCAAACAGGAUUAGAUACCUUGGUAGUCCACGCCCUAAACG